Long non-coding RNA from Cavia porcellus (domestic guinea pig), 1800 nucleotides. RefSeq lists it as uncharacterized. The record is from RefSeq and is a predicted model, not a curated record. The transcript is spliced from 4 exons. Lineage: Eukaryota; Metazoa; Chordata; Mammalia; Rodentia; Caviidae.
GAGGCCGGCUGAAUCUGUGCAUACUUUUUAUUGGCUUCACCGCAGGAGGAAGUAGACGAUCUUCUUCGCCACCCACUCAUCCUUCCGCCUUCAAAGCAGAGUUUAGACAUAUUUUUGACCUGCCAGCUCCACGCUGAGUACAAAUUAGGACAAGAUUAUGGAUUGAUGCAUCACAGACAGCAUGUCUUUUGAGGAAAGCAGUGAACUUCUCCAUUUUUAGAAUGGUACUGGAAUGCUUCUGCUGCCUCAGUUGACACCAGCACCAGCAACCGCACACAGCAGCAUCUGACAUUUUUCAGAAGCCCCUGGGUACUUGAUGUCAGAUUUCUCCAGGCCAAGAAAAACUACAGUCUUACUUUGAAAAUAACUAGUGUACCUUGGAACACCACCACUGCUGAGAGCUGUUGAAGCUGGAAAUUGACCACACAUGCAAGACUGAAGCAUGCCCGUCCCAAGAACAAAGACAAGCCAUGUGAAGAAGCUGCUUCAGGCCAGAGAACACCUAACCUCAAGACAAUCCUGAACAGUGGUUUGCUAGGACGGGUUGUCAUACGACAUUAAGUUCCUAAAAGAAUGUACCUCUCACAGCUCCACUGAAGUAAACAGGCAGGAAGAGAAUCGUUGUGACUGGUAGGAAGCUAGUCAUGAAAAAGCUGCACUUGCUUCUGGGCCACAAACAAUACCGCACCAUUAGAUUUAUCCAGGUGAGACUUUUAUUUCCUUUUCUGCUUGACUUCUCCACUCUGAAGAGAAACAGACAAUAUCUGCCGUCUCAACAUCCAUCACUCUGUGGUUUCCACGAUGCAAAAUAGCUUCUACAUUUUCACACCAUUUUUAUUCAGUGCUGCCUGCUGGUGACUUUCACUCCCCUACUCCUCUCAAAUAUAUACUCUAAGAAAAACAAUAAUCAUAGUUUUUGCUCAUUCUUCAGUUUGUUUUUUUUUUUAUUUAAGGAGAAAAGAAAAGAAAGAAAAAAAAACAGUGAAGGGGUACAAGUUAUACAGAUUUACAGAAGAAAAAAAUGCGCAGUAGGAAAUCACUAGUUAAUGGAUUACAUAUUGCCAUCUUAGAAAUAAUUGUUCCAGUCACAAAAUUAAAGCUUGUAGAGUGGGCAUUCCAACAAUGAUACUGCAAACAGUUCUGUUCAAUGAUCCAAUAAAACUCUGUGAUAUCAUUUUCUAUCUUAUACAUUUAAAUAUACAUGCAGUUAUAUAGUUUAGAGCACUUUCUUUUCCUCUCUUUUGUACAGUGACUAUUACACAUUUUGGGUUUCAUUGCUCCCACGGUUCUUAUUGCUUUUUUGGAAGAGAGUAAAACCAAAUGUGACAUAACAGAACAGAAUCGGUCAAGUCAAAAGGGUGGACAUAAUAGAUAAUAUAAAAACAUAAUACAAGGUGAUCAACAAUGGUUACCAUAAUGCCUCCCGCUAUUUCUAAUAGAAUUGCCUAUAUCAUUAGUUGUAAUACAAUUGAACAAAACCGUAAAGAAUAAAACCGACAAAACCAAAACAUUGGAGAUAUUGUAGGUCUUCAAAAGUAGAUAAAAGUCAACGAGAAUGGGCGUUAUAAUGAAUCUCAUUAUCUUCUCAGCUGAUGCCUAAACUUUCGAACCUGAUACUAUCCAGCAAAACAGAAUAGAGGAACCUCAGUCAAAAACAAGAUGGUGAGAGUAACACAGGGCUUCAAAUCGAGAUAAUAGAAAGUCAAAGUGGGUUACUAUAUUAUAUCCUGCUAUAUUUUUCCCUUUAAUUAAAUGGAUAAAAAUAAAAAAGUAAAUAAUGGAGUGGAGAUUGAGAAAAAA